CAGGCUCCUUUUCCUGUUUUGGGCCACCGCGAGGCCCACAAGUCCGCUCACAGUCGCAAGCAAGAGGGCCGUUUUUUUGGGCCGAAUUAUUCGCGAAUCCCGUUUUAUUCGCGAAUAAUUAUUUUUGCUCAAAAAACCGCGAAUUAUUCCGAAUUUUUGACAAAAAUUCGAAAACGGGUGUUUAAUUCGGCAUUUCAAAAAUUCGCGAAUAAUUCGCGAAUAAUUCGCGAAUUAACUAACUAUGCCCCCAAUUUCCCCCCCCAGGUGACAUAGACGAGGAGUUGGAUUUUGAGCUCGACGAGAGGACGAUCUAGCUAGUCUGGUAUAGCGAUCGCCACCCUGGUUGUAUUUCUUCCCCCGCCUUUAGUAGUGAUUUAAAUAAUGGUUCAGUUAGCUGAUCUUUAUAAUUGUUUGAAUAUUGGUGAUCUGGUUUGGUAGAUCUGUGGAUGUUUUCGUUAUUUAUGCAUGUGAACUGAGGUUUGUGGGUUUGGAUGUUGAUUUUAUGGAUAUCGAAUUUUCUUGUAUUUACAUAUCGUGGUUUUCUACCCCUCGAGGUAGCUGGUUUUCAAAACAGAGUUUCCAUGUGGGAAACAGUUUUAAAAAGAUUUUCGAAUGGUUUUCAUGAUGAAUGAAUUAGAGUUUAAAUAUAAAAACUUCCGUGUGGGGAGCACUUUUAAAUAGGAUGAUUGUUGUACUGUGCAUCUCAUCAUCCAGCGCCUAAGGAGUGCUUAGAGACAUGCAUCAUUUCUAAGGAUUGUUAGCUGUAUGAAAAUGCAUAUCAUGAAUUGAUUGUUGAUUGGUAAAUAUAGGUUGUGGUUGUGAUCCUGUUGUAUCCGUUGGUACGCCGUGCAAAUACAAAGGAGACUCUGCCCGAGUGGAGAGAGGAACUUUGUAUUUGUGGCGGGUCUGUACGUCACGUGGGCCAGGUUGGAUACAAAAAAAAAAAGGCACGUUUUCCGCAACUCUGAGUUUUCAAGAUGGUAAUGGCUUUUAAAAUCGGCCCCGGGGCGUGACAUUUCUAUUAUCUUAAUUUGAUAAGUUUUUUUAUACUGCACUAUAUUGAAUGCAGUAAAUUAUUGACAUAGAAUUUUCACUAAAUUAAUCGGUAGCUUCGUUACUAUAAAUUGAUAUUGAAUAAAUUGUUUGUUGCUAUUUUAGUUGUUUUGCUAUAAUGGAUAAAAGUUGGAUGAUCAAACC
RNAcentral lists this long non-coding RNA (1197 nucleotides) under Ananas comosus (pineapple). RNAcentral's name for it is "long non-coding RNA (ACOM_LNC028005)". Lineage: Eukaryota; Viridiplantae; Streptophyta; Magnoliopsida; Poales; Bromeliaceae. The record is from RNAcentral.